Molecule: long non-coding RNA, 479 nt
Filed under: Populus trichocarpa (black cottonwood)
Lineage: Eukaryota; Viridiplantae; Streptophyta; Magnoliopsida; Malpighiales; Salicaceae
Description: long non-coding RNA (PTRI_LNC002046)
Source: RNAcentral
UAGAGGUUAUAUCUUCAUUUUUAUCAGCAGUUGAUUUAGUAACAGGGGAUGAGCCGGUGUCUUUCAGAGAUGUGUUUCUGUAAGAGUCAGUUACAAAAGUGGCAAUUAACUCAGGUACAACCUCUGAUAUGUCAUCGUGCGCCAAAGCAGGUUUAUCUUUCAUCACUUUCUUCCCUUUUCUGUAUGAAGAUUUUGGGCCAAGUCUUCUGAUUCGUCUGAGCUUCUUCUUUUUUCUUUCCUUUAGUUCCAUUUCUACCACUUCUUGGGGUUCUGCCAGGUCACGUAUGAAAGCAGAAAAGAAGUUCUGCAAUUGGUUUUGGUCUAAAUUCAAGGUUCUCGCUAUUUUGGAGGAGGGGCUUGAAACCUGGGCUGAAGAAGUGUUAAGCCCUAAUACACUUGGAUCAAUAGCCUUGUUCCUUUCACCUGAGAAUUUGAAUGGCCUGUGAUGCCUUUUUUGUCGAGGCCCACUCCUGUAAUUG